CACGUAGGGUGCGAGCGUUGUCCGGAAUUAUUGGGCGUAAAGAGCUCGUAGGCGGUGUGUCGCGUCGGCCGUGAAAACCUGCAGCUUAACUGUGGGCUUGCGGUCGAUACGGGCAUCACUGGAGUUCGGCAGGGGAGACUGGAAUUCCUGGUGUAGCGGUGAAAUGCGCAGAUAUCAGGAAGAACACCAAUGGCGAAAGCAGCUCUCUGGGACGGUACUGACGCUGAGACGCGAAAGCGUGGGGAGCGAACAGG
This 254-nucleotide ribosomal RNA is filed under the name uncultured bacterium. RNAcentral describes it as "partial 16S ribosomal RNA". It matches the Rfam family "Bacterial small subunit ribosomal RNA", at positions 524 to 776 of the family's 1533-position model. The record is from RNAcentral.